This 738-nucleotide ribosomal RNA is filed under the name uncultured bacterium. RNAcentral describes it as "bacterial SSU rRNA". It matches the Rfam family "Bacterial small subunit ribosomal RNA", at positions 771 to 1501 of the family's 1533-position model. The record is from RNAcentral.
AACAGGAUUAGAUACCCUGGUAGUCCAUGCCGUAAACGUUGGGCACUAGGUGUGGGGAACAUUCCACGUUUUCCGCGCCGUAGCUAACGCAUUAAGUGCCCCGCCUGGGGAGUACGGCCGCAAGGCUAAAACUCAAAGGAAUUGACGGGGGCCCGCACAAGCGGCGGAGCAUGCGGAUUAAUUCGAUGCAACGCGAAGAACCUUACCAAGGCUUGACAUGUUCCAGACCGCCUCAGAGAUGGGGUUUCCCUUCGGGGCUGGUUCACAGGUGGUGCAUGGUUGUCGUCAGCUCGUGUCGUGAGAUGUUGGGUUAAGUCCCGCAACGAGCGCAACCCUCGUUCCAUGUUGCCAGCACGUAAAGGUGGGGACUCAUGGGAGACUGCCGGGGUCAACUCGGAGGAAGGUGGGGAUGACGUCAAAUCAUCAUGCCCCUUGUGUCUUGGGCUUCACGCAUGCUACAAUGGCCGGUACAAUGGGUUGCGAUACUGUGAGGUGGAGCUAAUCCCUAAAAGCCGGUCUCAGUUCGGAUUGGGGUCUGCAACUCGACCCCAUGAAGUCGGAGUCGCUAGUAAUCGCAGAUCAGCAACGCUGCGGUGAAUACGUUCCCGGGCCUUGUACACACCGCCCGUCAAGUCACGAAAGUUGGUAACACCCGAAGCCGAUGGCCUAACCACCUUGUGUGGAGGGAGUCGUCGAAGGUGGGACUGGCGAUUGGGACUAAGUCGUAACAAGGUAACC